CCUACGGGUGGCAGCAGUGAGGAAUAUUGGUCAAUGGUCGUAAGACUGAACCAGCCAAGUAGCGUGCAGGAUGACGGCCCUAUGGGUUGUAAACUUCUUUUAUGCGGGGAUAAAAUGCGUCACGUGUGCUGUUUUGUAUGUACCUCAUGAAUAAGGACCGGCUAAUUCCGUGCCAGCAGCCGCGGUAAUACGGAAGGUCCGGGCGUUAUCCGGAUUUAUUGGGUUUAAAGGGAGCGUAGUCCGCAUGUUAAGCGUGCGGUGAAAUGCCGUGGCUCAACCAUGCAACUGCGAAGCGUACUGGCUGGCUUGAGUACGCGGAAGGUAGGCGGAAUGCGUGGUGUAGCGGUGAAAUGCUUAGAUAUCACGAAGAACUCCGAUUGAGAAGGCAGCAUACGGAAGCGCUACUGACGCUGAAGCUCGAAGGUGCGGGUAUCGAACAGGAUUAGAUACCCGAGUAGUC
RNAcentral lists this ribosomal RNA (460 nucleotides) under uncultured bacterium. RNAcentral describes it as "partial 16S ribosomal RNA". It matches the Rfam family "Bacterial small subunit ribosomal RNA", at positions 338 to 795 of the family's 1533-position model. The record is from RNAcentral.